UGGGAACGUGCCCAAAGGUACGGAACAACUCCGGGAAACUGGAGCUAAUACCGUAUGUGCCCGAAAGGGGAAAGAUUCAUCGCCUUUGGAUCGGCCCGCGUCUGAUUAGCUAGUUGGCGGGGUAAUGGCCCACCAAGGCGACGAUUAGUAGCUGGUCUGAGAGGAUGACCAGCCACACUGGGACUGAGACACGGCCCAGACUCCUACGGGAGGCAG
This 216-nucleotide ribosomal RNA is filed under the name uncultured bacterium. RNAcentral describes it as "partial 16S ribosomal RNA". It matches the Rfam family "Bacterial small subunit ribosomal RNA", at positions 118 to 351 of the family's 1533-position model. The record is from RNAcentral.